CCUACGGGGGGCAGCAGUCGAGAAUCAUUCACAAUGGGGGAAACCCUGAUGGUGCGACGCCGCGUGGGGGAAUGAAGGUCUUCGGAUUGUAAACCCCUGUCAUGUGGGAGCAAAUUAAAAAGAUAGUACCACAAGAGGAAGAGACGGCUAACUCUGUGCCAGCAGCCGCGGUAAUACAGAGGUCUCAAGCGUUGUUCGGAAUCACUGGGCGUAAAGCGUGCGUAGGCUGUUUCGUAAGUCGUGUGUGAAAGGCGCGGGCUCAACCCGCGGACGGCACAUGAUACUGCGAGACUAGAGUAAUGGAGGGGGAACCGGAAUUCUCGGUGUAGCAGUGAAAUGCGGAGAUAGCGAGAGGAACACUCGUGGCGAAGGCGGGUUCCUGGACAUUAACUGACGCUGAGGCACGAAGGCCAGGGGAGCGAAAGGGAUUAGAUACCCCUGUAGUC
Molecule: ribosomal RNA, 446 nt
Filed under: uncultured bacterium
Lineage: Bacteria
Description: partial 16S ribosomal RNA
Rfam family: Bacterial small subunit ribosomal RNA
Source: RNAcentral